CCCUUCAUUCUACUGCUGAGACCCCGGAGGCUCAGAGAGAGAGGUGGCUGCCCAAAGCUGCACCACCCCACAUCACAACCGUAACCAGGCUGGGCUCCGAUACCACACUUCCUACAUUCCCACCCUGGACCUGGUCUGUUACCUUCUGCCUUACUGGUCCAGUAGACUCUUACGAGGAGGCAAUGAUUCAAAGUAAGUUAAGAGGACUUUGCACCAUGCUGAGUUUAUGAUGAUGUUAGAAAAGCAGGCAAGUUAACUUCCUUUCUCUGUGCAUCUUUGGAAAAACAAAGGGCCUUUGUGUAAUUUCUUGGAAUUUGAUUAACUGAAUUAGUCUGUGUGUUGCUUUCUUGGUCAUGUUAUUUAUAACUACCAUCUUAAUUUUUUUUUUUAGCUAAAAAUAUUUUUCCUUAUUUUGUGUACUACAUUAUAACAUGAAAUUGGAAUUUUAAAAUAAGAAUUUUAUACUAAAUUCAAUAAAAUCUGUAAGUGCUUUUACUCCAAUACAUAGGUGUAAAGUG
Long non-coding RNA from Galeopterus variegatus (Sunda flying lemur), 518 nucleotides. RefSeq lists it as uncharacterized. The record is from RefSeq and is a predicted model, not a curated record. The transcript is spliced from 2 exons. Lineage: Eukaryota; Metazoa; Chordata; Mammalia; Dermoptera; Cynocephalidae.